CCUACGGGAGGCAGCAGUCGAGAAUCAUUCACAAUGGGGGAAACCCUGAUGGUGCGACGCCGCGUGGGGGAAUGAAGGUCUUCGGAUUGUAAACCCCUGUCAUGUGGGAGCAAAUUAAAAAGAUAGUACCACAAGAGGAAGAGACGGCUAACUCUGUGCCAGCAGCCGCGGUAAUACAGAGGUCUCAAGCGUUGUUCGGAAUCACUGGGCGUAAAGCGUGCGUAGCCUGUAUGGUAAGUCGUAUGUGAAAGGUGGAGGCUCAACCCGCAGACGGCACAUGAUACUGCGAGACUAGAGUACUGGAGGGGGAGCCGGAAUUCUCGGUGUAGCAGUGAAAUGCGUAGAUAUCGGGAGGAACACUCGUGGCGAAGGCGGGUUCCUGGACAUUAACUGACGGUGAGGCACGAAGGCCAGGGGAGCGAAAGGGAUUAGAUACCCUUGUAGUC
Molecule: ribosomal RNA, 446 nt
Filed under: uncultured bacterium
Lineage: Bacteria
Description: partial 16S ribosomal RNA
Rfam family: Bacterial small subunit ribosomal RNA
Source: RNAcentral